This 57-nucleotide transfer RNA is filed under the name Heterocephalus glaber (naked mole-rat). It matches the Rfam family "tRNA", at positions 8 to 63 of the family's 71-position model. From Rfam's summary of the family: Transfer RNA (tRNA) molecules are approximately 80 nucleotides in length. Their secondary structure includes four short double-helical elements and three loops (D, anti-codon, and T loops). Lineage: Eukaryota; Metazoa; Chordata; Mammalia; Rodentia; Bathyergidae. The record is from Rfam by way of RNAcentral.
UAGCUCAGUGGUAGAGCACUUGCCCUGUAUGUGCAAGGACCUAGGUUCAAUUCCUAG